Molecule: ribosomal RNA, 460 nt
Filed under: uncultured bacterium
Lineage: Bacteria
Description: partial 16S ribosomal RNA
Rfam family: Bacterial small subunit ribosomal RNA
Source: RNAcentral
CCUACGGGUGGCAGCAGUGAGGAAUAUUGGUCAAUGGCCGUAAGGCUGAACCAGCCAAGUCGCGUGAAGGAAGAAGGAUCUUUGGUUUGUAAACUUCUUUUAUAGGGGAAUAAAGGUAUCCACGUGUGGAUAUUUGCAUGUACCCUAUGAAUAAGCAUCGGCUAACUCCGUGCCAGCAGCCGCGGUAAUACGGAGGAUGCGAGCGUUAUCCGGAUUUAUUUGGUUUAAAGGGUGCGGAAGUUGGUUUUUAAGUCAACGGUGAAAGUUUGGGGCUCAACCAUAAACUUGCCGUGGAAACUGGAAGACUUGAGUGUGUUUGAGGUAGGCGGAAUGCGUGGUGUAGCGGUGAAAUGCAUAGAUAUAACGCAGAACUCCGAUGGCGAAGGCAGCUUACUAAGCCAUAACUGACACUGAGGCACGAAAGCGUGGGGAGCAAACAGGAUUAGAUACCCUUGUAGUC